UUAUUUCUAUACUGUUACAGGUUCUGGAUAUAUCAACCUCGUCAUUACGGGGUUUUUUGUUAUCUGGAACUUAUAAAACGGCCACUUUUGUGGCGUGUACUGGGGCUAUUAGGCCCUUUUUUG
Shewanella pealeana ATCC 700345 is the source of this 123-nucleotide non-coding RNA. The record is from Rfam. Lineage: Bacteria; Pseudomonadati; Pseudomonadota; Gammaproteobacteria; Alteromonadales; Shewanellaceae.